Molecule: non-coding RNA, 409 nt
Organism: Pterocles gutturalis (yellow-throated sandgrouse)
Lineage: Eukaryota; Metazoa; Chordata; Aves; Pterocliformes; Pteroclidae
Source: Rfam
UCUGUCUGAUCCAUUAUUAAAGACUCAAAAACCAAGCAUAUUUUCAGAUGGCAUUUUGCACAGUCAGUGAUGUAUCUGUGCUUGAUGCCACUGUUCAAUUUUACCACUGUAAAAUGUGAUAAUAAUGUUAUCUGUUAACAUAAAAACAAAGAUCAACUCCACAGAAGCUGCUGGAAAUGGAUAACCAUAAUAUGCUUAAAUAUCUUAGGAACACACUGACAUAUACUGCUAAAAGUUCCUUAUAUUUAGGAAUUCUUGUAAGCGAAAUACUUGUGCUCGGUCUCAGCUGGUGUGCAUGAAGGAAUAUUCAUUUCCCAGUGGUAACACAGAAUUUGAGUUUUUUACCUUUUUUAUAUGUAUUUAAUGGAUUGAAACACUUUGAAGAAAAAAAAUGCAUACAUUUCUGGUC